AGGACGAACGCUGGCGGCGUGCUUAACACAUGCAAGUCGAACGGUAAGGCCCCUUCGGGGGGUACACGAGUGGCGAACGGGUGAGUAACACGUGGGUAAUCUGCCCUGCACUUCGGGAUAAGCCUGGGAAACUGGGUCUAAUACCGGAUAUGAACUCCUGCCGCAUGGUGGGGGUUGGAAAGUUUUUCGGUGCAGGAUGAGCCCGCGGCCUAUCAGCUUGUUGGUGGGGUAAUGGCCUACCAAGGCGACGACGGGUAGCCGGCCUGAGAGGGUGAUCGGCCACACUGGGACUGAGACACGGCCCAGACU
This 309-nucleotide ribosomal RNA is filed under the name uncultured soil bacterium. RNAcentral's name for it is "bacterial SSU rRNA". It matches the Rfam family "Bacterial small subunit ribosomal RNA", at positions 26 to 337 of the family's 1533-position model. The record is from RNAcentral.